Molecule: ribosomal RNA, 253 nt
Filed under: uncultured bacterium
Lineage: Bacteria
Description: partial 16S ribosomal RNA
Rfam family: Bacterial small subunit ribosomal RNA
Source: RNAcentral
UACGAGUGCCCCGAGCGUUAUCCGGAAUCAUUGGGCGUAAAGGGUGUGUAGGUGGCAGUGUUAGUCGCUUGUUAAAACCCGGGGCUUAACCCCGGAUGUGCGAGCGAAACGGCACAGCUAGAGGAUGCGAGGGAUCUGUGGAACUCAUGGAGUAGGGGUGAAAUCCGUUGAUAUCAUGGGGAACACCAAAAGCGAAGGCAGCAGAUUGGCGCAUUCCUGACACUGAGACACGAAAGCGUGGGUAGCGAAUGGG